RNAcentral lists this ribosomal RNA (867 nucleotides) under Wolbachia pipientis. Its description in RNAcentral is "bacterial SSU rRNA". It matches the Rfam family "Bacterial small subunit ribosomal RNA", at positions 88 to 996 of the family's 1533-position model. The record is from RNAcentral. Lineage: Bacteria; Pseudomonadati; Pseudomonadota; Alphaproteobacteria; Rickettsiales; Anaplasmataceae.
UAACUUAGUGGCAGACGGGUGAGUAAUGUAUAGGAAUCUACCUAGUAGUACGGAAUAAUUGUUGGAAACGACAACUAAUACCGUAUACGCCCUACGGGGGAAAAAUUUAUUGCUAUUAGAUGAGCCUAUAUUAGAUUAGCUAGUUGGUGGGGUAAUAGCCUACCAAGGUAAUGAUCUAUAGCUGAUCUGAGAGGAUGAUCAGCCACACUGGAACUGAGAUACGGUCCAGACUCCUACGGGAGGCAGCAGUGGGGAAUAUUGGACAAUGGGCGAAAGCCUGAUCCAGCCAUGCCGCAGAGUGAAGAAGGCCUUUGGGUUGUAAAGCUCUUUUAGUGAGGAAGAUAAUGACGGUACUCACAGAAGAAGUCCUGGCUAACUCCGUGCCAGCAGCCGCGGUAAUACGGAGAGGGCUAGCGUUAUUCGGAAUUAUUGGGCGUAAAGGGCGCGUAGGCUGGUUAAUAAGUUAAAAGUGAAAUCCCGAGGCUUAACCUUGGAAUUGCUUUUAAAACUAUUAAUCUAGAGAUUGAAAGAGGAUAGGGGAAUUCCUGAUGUAGAGGUAAAAUUCGUAAAUAUUAGGAGGAACACCAGUGGCGAAGGCGUCUAUCUGGUUCAAAUCUGACGCUGAAGCGCGAAGGCGUGGGGAGCAAACAGGAUUAGAUACCCUGGUAGUCCACGCUGUAAACGAUGAAUGUUAAAUAUGGGGAGUUUACUUUCUGUAUUACAGCUAACGCGUUAAACAUUCCGCCUGGGGACUACGGUCGCAAGAUUAAAACUCAAAGGAAUUGACGGGGACCCGCACAAGCGGUGGAGCAUGUGGUUAAUUCGAUGCAACGCGAAAACCUUACCACUUCUUGACAUGAAAAUAAA